UAAAGUGGACAGUGAUUUCAGAGCCCAUGGGGUGAAGUAGCAGUUGUUUUGCAUUUGACUUCUGUUGAUCAGCCUUUCUUCCUGCUCUGUCCUUUACCCUGAGAGGAAUUUAACUUAGCAACUGAAAUGUCAUUCAGCGGGUACUUAAGUACUUGGUGAGUAUGCCAGACUCUAAACAAGAUGAUAUGUGAGAUGCUGCACAGAGUCCUCAGGGAGCUUGCAAUCUGACAGGAACCUGAGUACAGACACCUGUAAAUGCAAAGCUGACUGUCACCACCCUGGGGAUACAGAGAACAUGAGGUUACUCUGCUUUGACUGGCGUGAC
Molecule: long non-coding RNA, 325 nt
Filed under: Bos taurus (domestic cattle)
Lineage: Eukaryota; Metazoa; Chordata; Mammalia; Artiodactyla; Bovidae
Description: long non-coding RNA NONBTAT015708
Source: RNAcentral